CAAAGAACUUUGAAGAGAGAGUUCAAGAGGGCGUGAAACCGCUAAGAAGCAAACGGAUGGAGUGGACGUUAGUCUUUGGGAUUCAGCCCAGGGGCGGCGUGCCCUUUCGACCACGGAUUGCAAGACCGAGGUUGGAAGUAGGUACGCUGUUCCGGGUGCAUUUCCCAGGGAUCGCAUCAGAGGCAGUGGGGACGUCGUGUUGACCUCGAGUCGGUGGCCUACUACUUCGGUAGCGGGUGUCUUACUCGGGAGUUGAUGCGGUCGACCCUACUGUGAUGGAAAGAGUGCCCGCCUCUAGCUCGGUAGUGUUGGCAGCGGUGCUGCUGGAUCGGACACCCAGUCUCUGGAUCCGGACCGGUGGUGCUGUUGUUCGGCAGGACCCGAGCGGUGCUCGGCUCUGAUGUUUUGUCCAUUACCCAUCCGACCCGUCUUGAAACACGGACCAAGGAGUCUAACAUGGGCGCGAGUCAUUGGGUUGCUAAACCUAAAGGCGAAAUGAAAGUAAAGGUCAACUUUGUUGGCUGAUAUGGGAUGCGUGGCUUCGGCUGCGUCGCACCAUAGCCCCGUCUUAGUGGCAUCGUCCACGAGGCGGAGGUAGAGCGUGCAUGUUGGGACCCGAAAGAUGAUGAACUUCACGCGGACAGGUUGAAGCCAGAGGAAACUCUGGUGGAAGACCAAAGAGGUUCUGACGUGCAAAUCGAUCUCAGAUCUAC
This 713-nucleotide ribosomal RNA is filed under the name Dichromadora sp. 1 MJR-2013. Its description in RNAcentral is "eukaryotic LSU rRNA". It matches the Rfam family "Eukaryotic large subunit ribosomal RNA", at positions 367 to 914 of the family's 3401-position model. The record is from RNAcentral. Lineage: Eukaryota; Metazoa; Nematoda; Chromadorea; Chromadorida; Chromadoridae.